GUCCAAUAUUUUUGCUUAUGAUUUCUGCCUUGGCAAAACACAUAUAUAAUAUUGUUUUUCCCAGAAGGUUGGCUGAAUACUCUAAAAGUCAUUAUUGACUAAUACUGGGGUUAGCCAAGUACGACUAGGAUUUCCUUCAGUAGUGGAAACAUCGAUCAUUAGGGUGAAACAGAUUGUAUUUGCUGAAAGAAAAGCUACUUCUGCUUAUUUGUAGGGCAUAAACAUCCCAUGGGUCUGCUCAGAGUUAUAACAGUGUAAAUCCAUUAGAGUUGAGGGGAGACUCAAGCCCAUUAUUUUUCAACAAGUUAUAUUCACCUGUUUGCUUAAAUGAUGCCAGGUGGACAGAACCAACUUUUAUAACAAAUUUAAACUCCUCAUAAACAGAGCUUUAAGUUCCCUUCUUCUUUGACUUUGUCCCACAGGCCUUGAGACUGACAGGGACACCUGUACCUUUGUGGUGAGGCAAAAGAGCAGGUGAAAGAAAACUCAUUUGUCUUUAUUCUCACUGUAUUGAACAGACCACAGAUCAUCUGAGGGGGGGAUUAAGUUACACUCAGUUUUGCGAAGUUAACACUUUCUAAAACAUGAAACUCAAAGCCUGGUCCUGUUUUGCCAACAAGUGGCCUCAACUUCAACUGGUGAAUUGCCCUCUGAGCAUCAUUGGUUUGAACCAGUUUGAUCACAUAAUGCACAAGCUGCCGUGGAUUUGGCCCCAGCCUGAUAAAGCAGGAUCUGCAGCAAAUAAGAACCCUGGAAGCAGCAAGAUCUGCUGUGAUGUGGAUGGUGAUGAUGGAAGAGAAAUGGGUAUAGAGUGGAGAAAAAUCCCAGAAGCAGCUGUGCCAGGAGCAGCAGUGUCUGGUUUCAGAGUUUGCCAUUCUGCACUCCUUAUGUAA
This 893-nucleotide long non-coding RNA is filed under the name Corvus moneduloides (New Caledonian crow). Its description in RNAcentral is "lncRNA (ENSCMUG00000015357.2)". The record is from RNAcentral. Lineage: Eukaryota; Metazoa; Chordata; Aves; Passeriformes; Corvidae.